UACGUAGGGGGCAAGCGUUGUCCGGAAUCAUUGGGCGUAAAGAGCGUGUAGGCGGCUUGAUAAGUCCGCUCUGAAAGCCCGGGGCUCAACCCCGGGAGGCGGGUGGAUACUGUCAAGCUCGAGUCCGGAAGAGGCGAGUGGAAUUCCUGGUGUAGCGGUGAAAUGCGCAGAUAUCAGGAGGAACACCAAUGGCGAAGGCAGCUCGCUGGGACGUGACUGACGCUGAGACGCGAAAGCGUGGGGAGCAAACAGG
Molecule: ribosomal RNA, 253 nt
Filed under: uncultured bacterium
Lineage: Bacteria
Description: partial 16S ribosomal RNA
Rfam family: Bacterial small subunit ribosomal RNA
Source: RNAcentral